AGAGUUUGAUCCUGGCUCAGAUUGAACGCUGGCGGCGUGCUUAACACAUGCAAGUCGAACGGAUUCAUAUUGAAGUAGCAAUACGGAGAUAUGAGUUAGUGGCGGACGGGUGAGUAACACGUAGGUAACCUACCCUUAAGCGGGGGACAACUCAGGGAAACUUGAGCUAAUACCGCAUAAGACCACGGGCUGAGAUGCCAGUGGGAAAAGGAGCAAUCCACUUAAGGAUGGGCCUGCGGCCUAUCAGGUAGUUGGUGAGGUAACGGCCCACCAAGCCAGAGACGGGUAGCCGGGCUGAGAGGUUGAACGGCCACACUGGAACUGAGAUACGGUCCAGACUCCUACGGGAGGCAGCAGUGGGGAAUAUUGCGCAAUGGGGGAAACCCUGACGCAGCGACGCCGCGUGGAGGAUGAAGGCCUUCGGGUUGUAAACUCCUUUUGUAGGGGAAGAUAAUGACGGUACCCUGCGAAUAAGCCACGGCUAACUCUGUGCCAGCAGCCGCGGUAAGACAGAGGAGGCGAGCGUUGUUCGGAAUUACUGGGCUUAAAGGGCGAGUAGGCGGUGGAGCAAGUCUGAGGUGGAAUCCUACGGCUUAACCGUAGAACUGCCUUAGAAACUGUUUUACUUGAGUCAGUGAGGGGAGGGCGGAAUUCCUGGUGUAGCGGUGAAAUGCGUAGAUAUCACGAGGAAGGCCUGUGGCGAAAGUGGCCCUCUGGCACUGUACUGACGCUGAGGCGCGAAAGCGUGGGGAGCAAACAGGAUUAGAUACCCUGGUAG
This 778-nucleotide ribosomal RNA is filed under the name uncultured bacterium. Its description in RNAcentral is "bacterial SSU rRNA". It matches the Rfam family "Bacterial small subunit ribosomal RNA", at positions 8 to 793 of the family's 1533-position model. The record is from RNAcentral.